UACGUAGGGGGCAAGCGUUAUCCGGAUUUACUGGGUGUAAAGGGAGCGUAGGUGGUAUGAUAAGUCAGAUGUGAAAGCCCAGGGCUCAACCCUGGGAUUGCAUUUGAAACUGUCAAACUAGAGUGCAGGAGAGGUAAGUGGAAUUCCUAGUGUAGCGGUGAAAUGCGUAGAUAUUAGGAGGAACACCAGUGGCGAAGGCGACUUACUGGACUGUAACUGACACUGAGGCUCGAAAGCGUGGGGAGCAAAC
Molecule: ribosomal RNA, 250 nt
Filed under: uncultured bacterium
Lineage: Bacteria
Description: partial 16S ribosomal RNA
Rfam family: Bacterial small subunit ribosomal RNA
Source: RNAcentral